RNAcentral lists this ribosomal RNA (587 nucleotides) under Pelophylax nigromaculatus (dark-spotted frog). Its description in RNAcentral is "partial large subunit ribosomal RNA". It matches the Rfam family "Bacterial large subunit ribosomal RNA", at positions 1792 to 2607 of the family's 2925-position model. Lineage: Eukaryota; Metazoa; Chordata; Amphibia; Anura; Ranidae. The record is from RNAcentral.
CGCCCUGGUUUUACCAAAAACAUCGCCUCUUGAUUAAACAUAAGAGGUCCAGCCUGCCCAGUGACAUAGUUUAACGGCCGCGGUACCCUAACCGUGCGAAGGUAGCAUAAUCACUUGUUCUUUAAAUAGGGACUCGUAUCAACGGCAUCACGAGGGCUAUACUGUCUCCUUUCUCCAAUCAAUGAAACUGAUCUCCCCGUGAAGAAGCGGGGAUUAACCUAUAAGACGAGAAGACCCCAUGGAGCUUCAAACUCAACAUAUACCUCUACGCACUUAAACCACUUUAGCCCAAGAGACCUCUAUGUUAGUUUUGGGUUGGGGGGACCGCGGAGUAAAAAUUAACCUCCACGACAAACGGGCUUUAUGCCCUUAUCCACGAACUACAACUCUAAGAAUCAAUAAACUGAUGUUUAUGACCCGAUUAUUCGAUCAACGAACCAAGUUACCCUGGGGAUAACAGCGCAAUCUACUUCAAGAGCCCCUAUCGACAAGUAGGUUUACGACCUCGAUGUUGGAUCAGGGUAUCCUAGUGGUGCAGCCGCUACUAAUGGUUCGUUUGUUCAACGAUUAAAACCCUACGUGAUCUG